RNAcentral lists this ribosomal RNA (253 nucleotides) under uncultured bacterium. RNAcentral describes it as "partial 16S ribosomal RNA". It matches the Rfam family "Bacterial small subunit ribosomal RNA", at positions 524 to 776 of the family's 1533-position model. The record is from RNAcentral.
UACGUAGGGACCGAGCGUUGUCCGGAAUCAUUGGGCGUAAAGAGCGUGUAGGCGGCCACUUAAGUCCUGCGUGAAAUCUUGCGGCUCAACCGCAAGCGGUCGUGGGAAACUGGGUGGCUAGAGUGCGGGAGAGGAGAGUGGACUUCCUGGUGUAGCGGUGGAAUGCGCAGAUAUCAGGAAGAACACCCGUGGCGAAGGCGGCUCUCUGGAACGCAACUGACGCUGAGACGCGAAAGCGUGGGGAGCAAACAGG